UCCUUUGUGCCUCUCUCAACUCUCGUCGUCUUUUUCCUCCUUGCAGCUUCAAAAGGGGCUCAUACGUCAUAAUGGAGAUGAAGGCUCUUGACAGUGACAGUGGGUUUGGGGACGAUGGCGAUGUCAACAGCAAUGAGUUGAAUGAAGAGGAUGACUUUGAUGGUGAACACGACGGUGAGGAGGAGGAAGAAGAAUCAGAAAAUGAGGAAGAAGAUGGAGAAGAAGUUGGGGAAGAGGAAAAUGAUGAUGGGAAAAACGUUAAUAAAGAUGCCGAGAUGGAAGAACUCGAGAAAGAAUACAUGAAUCUUCGUCAUCAGGAGCAGUAAGAGACUUCUGUUCACAAAUCCUUUUAUUUUUAAUUAUAAACUUGUGAUGCUUCAUUAGAAUGAAGACAUAGAGCUAAAUAAUGUGACUAUAGGAGAUAAUAUGCAUAGCAGUUGCAGGUUGGUGACGAAAUUUGAUAUUAGUUUACAGAAGUCAUUGAAUAAUGUAAAUUAAUUUUGUUACUAAGAAAGCACAAAAUGGAGUUAUAUAAUGUGACUAUAGGAGAUAAUAUGCUUAGCAGUUGCAGCUAUAGGAAUUGAACACUAGUGCCAUUUUCAUCUUAGCUCAAGGCUAAUUUUCAUCUUAGCACAAAAUGGAGUUAUAUAGGCUGACAUAUGAAGUUAAUUUUGUUCUUCGUUUAUUCUCUCUUCCCAUGUAGUGAUAUUUUAAAGAAAGAUCUUCUUAAGGGUCAAGCAGUGAAAAGGUGCGUUGUUCAAAAUAAUAACUCUUGUAAUAUCCAUGAAAUAGGUUUUGUUUUUCAACAUCAAAUUAUUGCUCCUUGUUUAAAGCUUCUUUUUAUGCCAAUCCUUAAAGUUGAAAAAAAUGAUUUAUGUAGUGAAUUAUUGUCUGAUCGAUGUUUAUUCUUACCCAUUUUCUAUGCCUUUUGUUUUCAUUUUUCUGAAGGCUCUGUGGGACAAGGCUCUUGAGUUCAGAUUCUUGCUUCAGAAAGCAUUCUCAAGUUCACAUAGAAUCAUGGAUUGCCACAGGCUUUACUUGAGAAGAACCCGUCCUUUGUUCAAGCAACAGAUGGUAAAUCUGGAUGAUCUAGGAUGUCACAGUCAUCUAAGAACAUUGAUGGUGAUGAGGAUUGGUCACAGAUUUCUGAGUUGCUGUCGAGGUACUCAGAUCAUAAUUAGAUAUUCUGAGAAGAAGAAUCAUAUUCUACUAUCUACAUAUGCUCUUAUUGUAUUGAAGUCUACCUAUAAAACUGAAUUUUUUUUCCUUCUUCAUGCCAUACUUCACCGAUCCAUUUGGAGCAGCAAAAAAGAACUUCGGAAUUUUGUUGUUUUAUUGUUAAAAUGCUCGUAAAUGUGUGGAUUCAAGUACCUUACUAUUAUUGCUGUAUUUCAAUACCUUAGUGUCUAACUUUUCUUAUAUUUUAAUACAUAGUUCUUAUCAGUUAAUAAAUGAGGAUAUUAUGUUAUUAAGUUUGUCAACUGUUCAAUAUGACAUGUACCAGACGAUGGUUUUCUGAAGUCAAAUUCCGUUAGGCACUAAUUAAAUUAGUUUGCUAUCUAAAGGGCCGGCAAAGAACCAUGAAAUGCAUUUGUAUAUUAUACUUGUAAAAAAUCUAUGUUGCCAUAUGUUUACUUUAAGCAUACUCUUGGGCAGUUCUGCUAUGAAUUCUUUCAUGCUCCGACAACUUCUCUUGCAUGAAUUUUAGAAAUUUGUUCUACUAUGAUCAACUUUUCAUUAUUGUGUGCAUUUCUAUGCGGGUUACUUGGUCCAACCAAGACCUGUCACAUUGUGUCUUGUAGAAUAGCUACUUUCGGAUUCAAAUCGAUAGACAAAUGGCAGAGGUAGGCAGAUGUAGAUGAGGAAAUCAGCAGUUGCUGUAUUGGGUACUGUCCCUGAGGGGUACAACACUGCAAAGGGAGAGAAAUUAAGUACAUUCAUUCCUUCACUCUGAUAGGAGACACAAUCUGAUGCUGUGCACAAGCUGAUGGUGACCUCGAACUUUCGGGUGACUCUGAUUUUUGCCAACAAUUACUGAAAGAAUUUUUUGAUACAAUUGACCCAGCAACUUCUGGUAAAACUAUUAGGGCAUCUCAUACUUCAUAUAUGAAUGAUUGCAUUUGAAUUUGAUAUAUGAUACGGUUUACCCAAUCUAUAAGAUUUCCUGUAGUUCAAAACACAUGCAAUCAGAUUGCAUAUAAAAAGUGUGGCUUUUGAAAUUGUUAAGGAUUGUAUCCUCCCAAGUUAUAUACAGAGUGGAUGAACAUGAUUUUCAAACAAUUUGGACUCAUCUAACCAACUUUAAGUAACUAAGUCUGAGCCAUGAGAAAAGUUUCGUUCAAACAAUCUGCAUCUGCAGCUAUUGAAGUCAAUGACAUAGUAUUGUCUCUGCUUAUAGUGGGCUUGGAACCUAAUCGGUCCCGAACUUCUAUUCUUCAAUUUUUUAUAUUUUUGUAACUUCAAAAAUGAAACAAGCUAGCAGUUAUUCCUGCUAACAAUCACAACCUAAUUGAUCCUGAACUUCUUUUGUUUAUUGAUUCUGAUUUUGCACUAUUUGAUUAUUCGCAGAGACAUCAUUUUAUUCCUUGAAAAAGUUGCAUGGUAAGAAGAGGAAGAUUGUUGACAGAAGAGCCUCUAAUAGUCGCAAGAUAAGGUAUAAUGUUUAUGAGAAGAUAGUAAAUUUCAUGGCUCCAGAGACCAUGGUCGUUGCUCCUAUGCUUCCGGACCUCAAUAAUUUGUUCGGGUUGAAGAAGCAGAAACCAGCUUCCGUAGUGUAGUAGCGAUGCAAGGCUGAAUCAGCUGUAUAGUCCUUGAAUCUCAGGCUAAGAAAUUGUCUGCUGUUAAUUUAUUUGAUAUAUUAUUCAAUCUAUUAUCUGUUGCACCGAUAUUUAUGUAAUUUACACAAUUUUUCAAUGGGAGCCGAGUCUUUAAGAAGUAUGA
This is an RNA transcript of Pyrus x bretschneideri (Chinese white pear), 2940 nucleotides long. It is a transcript of the gene named prothymosin alpha-like, with no coding region annotated. Lineage: Eukaryota; Viridiplantae; Streptophyta; Magnoliopsida; Rosales; Rosaceae. The record is from RefSeq and is a predicted model, not a curated record. The transcript is spliced from 8 exons.